Molecule: ribosomal RNA, 261 nt
Filed under: uncultured bacterium
Lineage: Bacteria
Description: partial 16S ribosomal RNA
Rfam family: Bacterial small subunit ribosomal RNA
Source: RNAcentral
UACGAAGGGGGGCUAGCGUUGCUCGGAAUGACUGGGCGUAAAGGGCGCGUAGGCGGUUUUGUCGCGUCGGCUGUGAAAAACCUGAGGCUCAACCUCAGGCCUGCAGUCGAUACGGGCGGACUUGAGUACUGCAGGGGAGACUGGAAUUCCUGGUGUAGCGGUGAAAUGCGUAGAUAUCGGGGAGGAACACCAGUGGCGAAGGCGAUCACCUGGGGGUUGUUCUGACGCUGAGGGAGCGAAAAGCUAGGGGGAGCAAACGGG